Long non-coding RNA from Capra hircus (goat), 2080 nucleotides. The record is from Ensembl. NCBI's taxonomy places the organism in Eukaryota, Metazoa, Chordata, Mammalia, Artiodactyla, Bovidae.
CAACGUCCCCCACCCCGAUCCCCCACCGUCACCCAGCCCACCCCGCCAACGCCCCCACCGGGUCCCCGGGGCCCCGGCGGGUAAUUACCUCUCUCGGAGGCGGAGCGGGGGGCGGCAGCGGCAGCAGCAGCGGCAGACACUUUUAAUCUGACUUUCCGGCGUUCGCUGGUGAGCCUGUGAGCGCUGAGCAGGAGCAGUAACCUGCUAUUUAUAGACCGGAGCCUCAGCACCCGGGGCUGGGAACCGGGAGGAAGCGAGCCGGAGGCGCGGCGGCGGCGCAGGGCGCAGGGCGCGGGCGGCGGCUCCCGAGGCUCCCGCGCCUCCCUCGGGCUCCCGGUCCCCCCGCGCUCCCAGCUCCCUCACCGGCCGCGCGCGCCCGGGAGAAGUUAUCGCCGGCGCGGCCGCCUCUCCGGCGGCUCACACGCCCCCUGGCACAACCGCUACUUUCUGCCCCCCGCCCCACCCCUCCCUGCACCUCCUCCUCCUCCUCCUCCUCGGCCCUUUCCCAGCGGUCUCCUCCCAAUGUCACCGGCGGCCGAAUAGAGGCAGCGACGGCAACCACAGCGGCGAAACUGGCGCAGCUCGCUUCCCGCUACCGACGGAGUGGAGUUGGUGACCCGGCCGCCCAAUCCACAACGACUCCGACACGCGUGCUCCGUGGGAGGCCUCCCCGCUCCCCGACCUUCUGCCGGGCCCCUCUGCUAGCGGGGAUGGUCCCCAGGCUGCGCUGCUGGGUUCGCCGCUGCGGAGCGCUUUAGGGAGCAGUGACCCGAGGCCGGCACACUGCUCCUGGGGCCACCGAAGCCGCAGGGUUUUUAAGCCGCGGGAGGAGGCGUCCCGGAUCCUGGCUCAGACCCAGGAUCGUGGGGUCGGGAGAGAGUGGGAGGAGGUGUCCCCUGUUCCCCAGACUUCUGCCUGCCACCGCCCUGGGACCCCCGUCUCUCGCCACUCCUCCGCCGUGGCCCAGGAUGAAGUCGAGGGGAGGAGACCUGAGCACCGGCGAGGCUUCCAACUCAGCUCGGUCCCCCGCCACCCACCAACAGCCCCCACGUCGCGGCUCGGUGACUGGGGCCGAGCCGCUCCCAACAAGCAUGUGACAUGCCUUGAGCAGCCCGGGCGCUUGGGGCCAGAUCUACACUCAGCGUUGUUUGGGGUGUCGGGAAAACAGGGUGCCACCUGGCGGUUUUCUUGGAGAGGUUUCCACUCAGCGGCUCAAAGGUAAUGAGGGUGUCAGGAAGGCGAGGGCCAGUCCAGACAGGCACCCUCAAGCCUUUCCCCUCCCAACCAGCACUUUAAAUUUACAUUUUAAAAAAGAAGUGAGAAUGCUCAUACGGCUUACAGUUUGUUCCGCAGAGACCGGACUCCCCAAGUUGGGAUGGAGAAGUCGAUUUGGGUAAGUCAGGACUCAACAGUCACACAAAGCCGGAAGCUGGAGCUGCCCCCAGCUGCCACCUCUGCUGUCACUCCCUGUGUCUAGGCGUCCCUUCGCUCCGCAAGCACUGAACUGCCUCUAGAGUCGAAGCUCUGCCUAUGAGAGCAGAGACUUGGGUGUUUGGUUUUGUGUUUUCUUCCCCCACCCCCCAACCCCAAUCACUCUUCCUCAGAACUUGGAACCACGCUUAACGUGCAGUUGCUUCCAUAUAUGUUUACAGAAUGAAUUAAUAAACAUUAUGGACCAGAAACUGUGCUUGGCCCAUUCUCACCCUGCAGCCCUUCCCCUUCUUUCUCUUCAAGCUCUUUCUGCUACACUCAGCUACCAUCACAGGUGAGGUGGAUGGAGAGAAGCCGAAACAAAAUAGGCAAGCAAUCCAUGCAGGCCCUGGAGGAUAUGGAUCAUACCUGAGGAGUCCGUUACACAGUGAAAUUUCCCCUUCAUGUGGUGGUACAGAACACACUCCUCUCAAGAAAUGAAAAGAAAAAAAAAACAAAACUGUCAUACUUGGGACUUGAUGCAAUGGAUAAAUCCUGUUUGUAGAGAUCUACUGGCAAGAUGAGGCAACUUUAUCACUGGGCAAGAGUUUCAGCCUUUUUUUAUUAAAAAAAAAAAUACAGAAAUAGCGAAAGAAUAUCAGAACAUCAG